This is a long non-coding RNA of Mastomys coucha (southern multimammate mouse), 829 nucleotides long. RefSeq lists it as uncharacterized. Lineage: Eukaryota; Metazoa; Chordata; Mammalia; Rodentia; Muridae. The transcript is spliced from 5 exons. The record is from RefSeq and is a predicted model, not a curated record.
UUCUCAUUCUGCAGAGCACUGGCUUUCUCCAUCUCCAGAAGAGAAUAAAUGGCCUUCGGAGAAACUGAACGUUCCAAAGCCAACUGUGACAUCAUCUCACCUACCCUCUCUUGCAACUUCUGCCUUGCUCACUGGAACCCUUAAGCAUAGCCAGAAGGCACUAUAUAGAAAGUCCAACUGCCUGGAGCUAUCAUGUUCUGUAAAAGCCCAAACCUUGGCCCUUAUUGGUUGUGCAGUUCCAGUGGGAGUGAAAGAAGGAUAAGCCUGCACAGGGAUUGGCGCACAAGAUCAAAGGAAAAGAAGAGAAACAGUACAGCCGCUCUCCUCUGGAAAGCCUGAGGACACACAUGGAUCACUGCCAGCUGAGCUCCUCCUUUGGACUGAGCACCCGUGAAGACAAUCUUAUUAUGCACUCCAGGCUCUCAAAUCUGGAUUCUUGUGCUGCAAACUCAAAUGUUGAGACUACAGGUAUCCUUAUGCUGCAAAUGCUGAGACUACAGGCAUUGCUGCCCUGUGCCACCACACUGGACAAGAGCAGUUGAUAGCACGUCCCAGUGAUAGUCAUUUGCCUUACACCUGCUGGGGUAUGCAUCCCUUAUAGAAGGCACAGAACAGAAGAUGUAUGGAAUAGCUCCAGAGCUCAGGGCCCAGCCAACCUGAGUUAAGGUAUUAUGACUGACUACAGAUCUGUGCAGGGAUGUCCAGGAGCCAAACAUCUAUUCUGUUUAUUCCAGGUGAGAAAACUAGGUACCUGGAAAUCGGUAAUCUGAGGACCCACAGCCUCUAAGUCAGGUGUCAAAAUGUGUGAGAAGGGAAGAGCUAAUGCAGG